GUUGUGGUGGCUCAGUGGUUAACGCUUUAAGUUACUGAUGAGAAGGUCUGGGUUCAAAUCCAAGCACAGCC
Pangasius djambal is the source of this 71-nucleotide non-coding RNA. Lineage: Eukaryota; Metazoa; Chordata; Actinopteri; Siluriformes; Pangasiidae. The record is from the annotation of a GenBank genome assembly.